UAAGUUACGCUACAAACAAGACGCUUUGUGUAGAACAGUAGGAAUAACAAGUAAUAGAUAUAUGGCUUUACUGAAAGACAUUGGACGGAUCCCUUCUUAAGACCUUGCGAUGUAGGAUACAUGAUGUUAAGGCCCUUUCUUUCUUUGGUCAACGGUUAAAGAGCAGGGUGUCAUGUGGCCAGCACAACGACCUUUACUUUCUCCAACUAAAGUCAGAUACAGUGACAAGGCAUUCUGUGUGGUCAUCUAACAGAAGGCAGGAGAGCCGCUGGUCGUCCACUUCUAAGAUCUACUGAUGUAUGGAAACGCGACAUGAAGCUCUUCAAAAUCGACUUUAAUAGCUGGGAAACAGUGGCAUUGGAUGAGCGAGCGAACACGGAAUGGUCCCGGAUUGCAGAUGCCACACACAACAGUAGUAGAAAGAAGGGUGAAAGUACAACGGCGCCAGGUGAUUACAUAUACCCAACCUGUGGCCGCAGCUGUGUAUCAAGGAUUGGCCUCUUUAGUCACACAAGAAGUUGCAAAGGGAAAAGAUCAUCUCUCGAGACGUAAAAUGCCUCAGAGACAGACAGUGAUUGUAUAAAACACACACACAUACACGCAGCCCACUACCAGUGUUUAAAAAAUGUACAGUACCUUUGUGUGUGUGUGUUUGCGUUGUUGCAACUUCUUUGUUUACGACAGUGCAUGUGUGGGUACUACUAAUGACUGGCGGAUUGAGGGGGAGGGGGGGCCACUACUGAGUUUGUAUUGCUCGCCUUUUUUUUUUCUUUUCACGUUCAACCCAGUUACAUAUUUAUCAAGCAGAACACGUAAACAGCGUUAUCAUUCUUAUAACUCCCUCCACAAACACGCCCACAUCCUCCCUUGCCCCCUCAUUGACCAGAUCCAACAACAUCCUGUUUCUUGUCCUGGACAAAGGUCAAGCCGACAAACUAAACUUACGAGUAACCUUUUCUGACCCCAUUUCACCCCGGUAUUGAGUUUCAGGAUUACGAAAACAAUUUUGUUUUCACAAGUCACAUCCCUGCCACCACACACGAGAUAAGGCACUCACACCUAUAUUGUACAUACAAACACACACACGCACGUUUACGUGUGACAAGUGACAAGAGAAAAAAAAAGAGUAAAAAAAAAAUCUUAAAUAGACCUGAAUUAAAGUAAUGAGUGGCUUAUUUUUUUUUACAUUUAUU
This is a long non-coding RNA of Biomphalaria glabrata, 1193 nucleotides long. RefSeq lists it as uncharacterized. The transcript is spliced from 3 exons. The record is from RefSeq and is a predicted model, not a curated record. NCBI's taxonomy places the organism in Eukaryota, Metazoa, Mollusca, Gastropoda, Planorbidae.